UACGUAGGUCGCAAGCGUUGUCCGGAUUUACUGGGCGUAAAGAGCGCGCAGGCGGCUGGUCAAGUCCGAUGUGAAAUCUCCCGGCUCAACUGGGAAACUGCAUCGGAAACUGAUCGGCUUGAAGAUGGGAGAGGGUAGUUGGGAAUUCCCGGUGUAGUGGUGAAAUGCGUAGAUAUCGGGAGGAACACCAGUGGCGAAGGCGACUACCUGGCCCAUUCUUGACGCUGAGGCGCGAAAGCUAGGGGAGCGAACGGG
Molecule: ribosomal RNA, 255 nt
Filed under: uncultured bacterium
Lineage: Bacteria
Description: partial 16S ribosomal RNA
Rfam family: Bacterial small subunit ribosomal RNA
Source: RNAcentral